Molecule: ribosomal RNA, 1483 nt
Filed under: uncultured bacterium
Lineage: Bacteria
Description: 16S ribosomal RNA
Rfam family: Bacterial small subunit ribosomal RNA
Source: RNAcentral
CUGGCUCAGGAUGAACGCUGGCGGCGUGCUUAACACAUGCAAGUCGAACGGGGAUGCUUAUGGAAGGAGUGCUUGCACUUUGGAAAUGAGUAUCUUAGUGGCGGACGGGUGAGUAACGCGUGGGUAACCUGCCCCAUACCGGGGGAUACCACCUGGAAACAGGUGCUAAUACCGCAUAAGCACACGGGAGCGCAUGCUCUGUGUGAAAAACUCCGGUGGUAUGGGAUGGACCCGCGUCUGAUUAGCCAGUUGGCAGGGUAACGGCCUACCAAAGCGACGAUCAGUAGCCGGCCUGAGAGGGUGGACGGCCACAUUGGGACUGAGACACGGCCCAAACUCCUACGGGAGGCAGCAGUGGGGAAUAUUGCACAAUGGGGGAAACCCUGAUGCAGCGACGCCGCGUGAGUGAAGAAGUAUUUCGGUAUGUAAAGCUCUAUCAGCAGGAACGAGACAAGACGGUACCUGACUAAGAAGCCCCGGCUAACUACGUGCCAGCAGCCGCGGUAAUACGUAGGGGGCAAGCGUUAUCCGGAAUCACUGGGUGUAAAGGGAGCGUAGACGGCUGUGCAAGCCUGAAGUGAAAGGCGGGGGCCCAACCCCUGGACUGCUUUGGGAACUGUACGGCUGGAGUGCAGGAGAGGUAAGUGGAAUUCCUAGUGUAGCGGUGAAAUGCGUAGAUAUUAGGAGGAACACCAGUGGCGAAGGCGGCUUACUGGACUGUAACUGACGUUGAGGCUCGAAAGCGUGGGGAGCAAACAGGAUUAGAUACCCUGGUAGUCCACGCCGUAAACGAUGAUUACUAGGUGUCGGGGGGCAGAGGCCCUUCGGUGCCGCAGCAAACGCAUAAAGUAUCCCACCUGGGGAGUACGUCCGCAAGGAUGAAACUCAAAGGAAUUGACGGGGACCCGCACAAGCGGUGGAGCAUGUGGUNUAAUUCGAAGCAACGCGAAGAACCUUACCCGGCCUUGACAUCCCCCUGACAGUGUAUGUAAUGUACAUUCCCUUCGGGGCAGGGGAGACAGGUGGUGCAUGGUUGUCGUCAGCUCGUGUCGUGAGAUGUUGGGUUAAGUCCCGCAACGAGCGCAACCCUUACCCACAGUAGCCAGCACAAAAGGUGGGCACUCUGUGGGGACUGCCGGGGACAACCCGGAGGAAGGUGGGGAUGACGUCAAAUCAUCAUGCCCCUUAUGGCCGGGGCUACACACGUGCUACAAUGGCGUAAACAAAGGGAAGCGAGAGAGUGAUCUUAAGCGAAACUCAAAAAUAACGUCCCAGUUCGGAUUGCAGUCUGCAACUCGACUGCAUGAAGCUGGAAUCGCUAGUAAUCGCGGAUCAGAAUGCCGCGGUGAAUACGUUCCCGGGUCUUGUACACACCGCCCGUCACACCAUGGGAGCCGGGAAUGCCCGAAGUCGGUGACCUAACCUGAAAAGGGAGGAGCCGCCGAAGGCAGGUCUGGUAACUGGGGUGAAGUCGUAACAAGGU